AACGAACGCUGGCGGCAGGCUUAACACAUGCAAGUCGAGCGCGCGCCUUCGGGCGUGAGCGGCGGACGGGUGAGUAACGCGUGGGAACGUGCCCUUCUCUCCGGAAUAGCCCUGGGAAACUGGGAGUAAUGCCGGAUACGGCCGAGAGGCGAAAGAUUUAUCGGGGAAGGAUCGGCCCGCGUUGGAUUAGGUAGUUGGUGGGGUAACGGCCUACCAAGCCGACGAUCCAUAGCUGGUUUGAGAGGAUGAUCAGCCACACUGGGACUGAGACACGGCCCAGACUCCUACGGGAGGCAGCAGUGGGGAAUCUUGGACAAUGGGGGCAACCCUGAUCCAGCCAUGCCGCGUGAUCGAUGAAGGCCUUAGGGUUGUAAAGAUCUUUCAGCUGGGAAGAUAAUGACGGUACCAGCAGAAGAAGCCCCGGCUAACUCCGUG
Molecule: ribosomal RNA, 435 nt
Filed under: uncultured bacterium
Lineage: Bacteria
Description: bacterial SSU rRNA
Rfam family: Bacterial small subunit ribosomal RNA
Source: RNAcentral